AACGAACGCUGGCGGCAUGCCUAACACAUGCAAGUCGAACGAGACCUUCGUGUCUACUUGCGCACGGGUGCGUAACGCGUGGGAACCUGCCCUUAUGUUCGGAAUAACUCCCCUAAAGGGGUGCUAAUACCGGAUAAUGUCUUCCGACCAAAGAUUUAUCGCCUUUGGAUGGGCCCGCGUUGGUUUAGCUAGUUGGUAGUGUAAAAGCCUACUAAGGCGACGAUCCAUAGCUGGUCGGGGAGGAUGAUCAGCCACACUGGGACUGAGGCACGGCCGGGAAUACUAGGCGAGGGAGCAGAGGGGAAUACUGGCCAAUCGGCGAAGGCCUGAUCCAGCUAUGCCGCGUGAGUGCUGAAGGCCUUAGGGUAGUGAAGCUGUUUUAAACGCGAUGAUAAUGACAGUACCGGGAGAAUAAGCUCCGGCUAACUCCGUG
RNAcentral lists this ribosomal RNA (433 nucleotides) under uncultured bacterium. Its description in RNAcentral is "partial 16S ribosomal RNA". It matches the Rfam family "Bacterial small subunit ribosomal RNA", at positions 29 to 507 of the family's 1533-position model. The record is from RNAcentral.